Schistosoma mattheei is the source of this 34-nucleotide non-coding RNA. The record is from Rfam. NCBI's taxonomy places the organism in Eukaryota, Metazoa, Platyhelminthes, Trematoda, Strigeidida, Schistosomatidae.
CUGAAGAGUCCCACAAUAGGACGAAACGGCCGUC